AUAACGGAUAACGUCCGCCGAGGGUGACCUCCGGGAAAGUGCAACAGAAAUAAACCGCCGCUUAUGCGGUAAGGAUGGAAAGGCGAGGUAAGAGCUCACCCGAACCUAUGGUAACAUAGGCUCGCUGUAAACCCUAUCCGAAGCAACACCUUGAAUUCCGACUUUUGUCGGCGGGUUGCCCGCCCGUUUUCAUGGUGGCAGAGCUACGGCUCAAACUGCGGGGUAACUCGCAGUGAAGAUAGAUGAUUGCUGCGCCGUUUUCGGCGUACAGAACCCGGCUUACAAGUUCAGUCAUUUU
Molecule: RNase P RNA, 298 nt
Filed under: Clostridia bacterium
Lineage: Bacteria; Bacillati; Bacillota; Clostridia
Description: partial RNase P RNA component class A
Rfam family: Bacterial RNase P class A
About the family: Ribonuclease P (RNase P) is a ubiquitous endoribonuclease, found in archaea, bacteria and eukarya as well as chloroplasts and mitochondria. Its best characterised activity is the generation of mature 5'-ends of tRNAs by cleaving the 5'-leader elements of precursor-tRNAs. Cellular RNase Ps are ribonucleoproteins.
Source: RNAcentral